GUCGAGAAUCUUCCGCAAUGCGCGAAAGCGUGACGGAGCGACACCGCGUGAUGGAUGAAGUCCUUUGGGGCGUAAACAUCUUUUAUAAAGGAGGAAAUUUUUGACGUUACUUUAUGAAUAAGGGGCUCCCAAUCUCGUGCCAGCAGGAGCGGUAAUACGAGAGCCUCAAGCGUUAUCCGGAAUCAUUGGGCGUAAAGGGUGCGUAGGUGGUUUGAUUAGUCUCCCGUUAAAACUUCGAGCUUAACUCGAAAAGAGCGGGGGAAACGGUCAAACUAGAGUAUGUGAGAGGUGUGUGGAACUCAUGGUGUAGGGGUGAAAUCCGUUGAUAUCAUGGGGAACACCAAAAGCGAAGGCAGCACACUGGCACAUCACUGACACUGAGGCACGAAACCUAAGGUAGCGAAUGGGAUUAGAAACCCGGGUAGUCC
RNAcentral lists this ribosomal RNA (428 nucleotides) under uncultured bacterium. RNAcentral describes it as "partial 16S ribosomal RNA". It matches the Rfam family "Bacterial small subunit ribosomal RNA", at positions 354 to 796 of the family's 1533-position model. The record is from RNAcentral.